This 444-nucleotide long non-coding RNA is filed under the name Homo sapiens (human). RNAcentral's name for it is "long intergenic non-protein coding RNA 963". The record is from RNAcentral. Lineage: Eukaryota; Metazoa; Chordata; Mammalia; Primates; Hominidae.
UGGGUAAUCCAAGCCUCGGCAGGUACAGUUCCUCCCUCAGUGGCACCCGAGCUCUGUGAGGGCAAGACUUUGUUCGGUUGUGGGCUAUGCCCCCAACCCCUCGGACAGUGCCUGCACAGGUGGACAUUUUUGUUGGAUGAAGGAUUUUCUGUUAAAUGUGUCUGGCACACACAGAAAAACAAAGCCCAGCAGAUGCCGUUCCAUUGUUUGCUGACUUUCAUUGAUUCUAUGAGAAGUCUGCAGUCUUUUGCAGCGUUGUUUUCCUAUGUAUAAUUGUCUCCUCCCACCCCACUCACCCCAGCUGCUUUCCACAUUCUCUCUCUUUGAUUUUCAGCAGUCUGCCCAUGAUGUGCCUAAAUAGGACUUUCUUUGCAUUCAUCUUGGCUGGGGCUCACUGAACUUUCUGAAUCUGUAGAUUAAUUUUCUUUUUUCAAUAAACCUUGG